This 2868-nucleotide long non-coding RNA is filed under the name Medicago truncatula (barrel medic). RNAcentral describes it as "long non-coding RNA (MTRU_LNC005484)". Lineage: Eukaryota; Viridiplantae; Streptophyta; Magnoliopsida; Fabales; Fabaceae. The record is from RNAcentral.
UAGCAAUUUGAAAUCUAAAAAAGGCAAAUGGGUCCAUUUCAUAUAUUAAAAAGGGUGGGUAAAGAAAGUCAUAAAAAUAAAUAAAUGACCCUGCACAUUGAAUCAUGGGGUACGAUACAAGUAGUUUUAUUUUGAUGCAACGUACAUUUAAGUUGGUUGAACCAAGACAUUUUUUUUAACUUAGACAAUGACUCCUUUGGCAUUUACAAUGAUAAGACUAUGUCCCUCAAUAUCCUUGUCAUUUUCUAUACAACAAUAAAAAACCCCUUUCAUUCCUUUUCACUUCCUUCAUUUCCUUUCUCUCUUCUCUCUCAGUCAAAAAAAAUAAUACACAUUUCUUGAUCUCAAUCAAGGUUCUUGAUUAAUACUUAAUGUGGUUUUGUGAAGGUGUGGUUCAACAAUGAUAAUGGUGGCUUCAAAAGAGAAGACUAAUAGUGGUGGAUGCAUGUUUAGGUACUCGGUUUUGAUUUUGUCUCUUUUGGCUUUGUCCAUUUUGGUUCUACCUUUGGUGAUGCCUCCUCUACCACCACCACCUUUGUUGCUUCUCCUUGUUCCUGUUUUCAUUAUGUUGCUUCUCUUUUUUAUUGCCUUUUCACCUUCUAAAAAAGUUCCAAAUAAGGCUUCUUUUGUUUCUUGAUGUGUAAAUUAUCAAGCUAUAUAGCUAGCCUUUUUAUUCACAUGUAAGUUACUACGUACGUUUAAGGAAGAAUAAGUAGUAUUUUGGAAUAUGAGUUUUUUGAAUUUCUAGGUUUAUAGUAUUCAAUUUUGUUCCUGUUAAGGUUUUAUUUUUUUAGCAAACAAUGUUUAGUUUAUUUCUAUGAUACCAUGGUAAUGACGAGAAACAAUGUAAAUUUUCCAAACAAAAAUAUCUUAAUCAAAUUGGAUGUUUAAUGGGAGCAAAAUGUAUUCAUAUAAUUAACCAUGUAGCUACUUGUGUUUUUUAAUACAAACAGAACGACAUCAUACUCUGGUGUCUGGAAAUUUAUCUAUUGUAAUCUCGACGCAUGUGGAACGUUCAAAUCAAUCUAAGAUGAAAACUAUAAUUAUAAAACUAUUUAUAGAUGCAUUUAUUAUUCUUUUUUCAAAUAUACUUUUUUUUUUUAUAAAGCUAGAAAUUUAAAUAAAAGUCAGGAGAGGCCCGAACUGCAUACAAAACAGUUCAAGCAAAAACAAAAAUACAAACUUAGAAACUCAGAAACAAACAGAAAACCUCAAAUCAUAUCUAAUCUAGUGUAUGGUAAUCCAAGUCUAUCUUUUAUCACUUUUUUCAAAUAUACCACUUAUGAAUAAAACAUAUAUUUGUGACAAAUUUAUUAUUUCAAUAAUUUUUUUAAUACCUGUUUUUUUUUUUAAAAAAAAAAAAAAAGAACUAGUCUUAUAAAAAUGGACGGAGAGAGUAUUUUUUUUAAUAAAGUAGUAGGAGUAGUACUUGUUUAGGGGGGAAGAAAUGUACAUUAUGUUGUGUGUUGGGGGAUGUAUUUUGACUAUUUUCAUUUGAUCAGGUCUUUUGAAUUUUGGUACGUUUAGACGUUGAAAUCUUGUAAAUAAAUCUGGGAACAAGAUUUAGAAUUCUCAAGCAUUUAGUCAAUAAAAACCAUAAUUAUGCUCAAAAAAUGUCCAUUGUCUCCGUCAAAGCAAUCAAAUUUUGAGACAUAUUUUCUUGCCUCUAGCGUAAAUAAGAUUAUUUAAUCUUACACUUAUCAAGAAAUUUUGUCAAAAAGAAACUUGUUUUUUUAUCUAUAAAAAAAGGUUCAAUAUUACUAGUUUGACAAAACAAAACAAAAAAUGUAUAGGUAGGUUGAAGAGGAAACUGAGUUCUGAAAGUUGCUCAGAAACUUAUUCCCACGGUUUUGGUCUGUGUUACCAACAGCAUGAGUCAUUGUCGUGACUUGUGGUGUUUUGCUUAUUUUCACUGUCUCAGAAUUUUCGUGUAAUUUGUUGCAUGCAGUACAGAUUUAGAAAUCUAUUAGACUGGGGUUAAAAAAAAUGAUAAAUAUUAUAUAAAAUUAAAUUAUAGUUAAAUUUAUGACAAGAAAUUAAAAUAAAAUUAUAGAAACAAGCAUAUAUUAGAUCAUCCAUAAUAAAGUGUCUUUUUAUAAUUUUUUAAUAGUAACACAUAAUAAACAUGCAUAAAGAGUGUCGAUUUGAGACAUUGUGUUCAUCAUAUACCCAAAAUUAUUAUUUUUCAAUGGAUGUACCUCACAGGUAUCAAGUGUUAAACACGAGAGACCUCUCUAUUAGGGAUGGUCUAGCCUUCAUCUUCCAUUCAGCGAGUACAAAUUCAUUUUUAUCAUCAAUCAAUUGGUUAAUCUGAUUGAUGCAAACCGACAUUCCAUCAAAUCUCACGAUUUCUUUCUAAUAGUUUCUUUCAACAACACAAACACUAAUAUAUGCGGAUACCAAUUCCCACCCAAUCAAAUUGUGAUCAUUACCUCAUUUGUUUUAUAGUUCACUCUCAAUUUUUCAUCUUAUUUGCCUUUAUAUUUUCAAAGUACAAUCACGACCUUGUUGGACCAAAUAUGCUUGGAUUGGUUGUUAGUGUUAGAUCAAGGACGUAGAAAGCCUCAUAUUUGAGGGGGAUAAUGUUGAUGUGUCGAGUGAAAUAAAAAUCUCAUAUUGAAUGAAGUAGUAGAUGUCGAGAAAAAUGUAAGAAGAUUCAUAUAUCUAUAACCAACUUAAUAACUUAAGGUUUUGAGUGAAGAUGUAGUGUUCUAAUUCAUUUGUGUGGUUUCUCUUAGUCUAAUGUAACGAUUGAAUCAGGGAUUUUAAUGCUCCACCUGAAGUUGCAUGAAAUUUGACUCACGCUCCCCCGUCAAGUCGAUACCUCUUAUUAAAGAGUUUGAAUGAGCAUGAGAAGCAAGUAUGAAC